AAAAAAUUGGAUCAUGUGAAUCCACCUGGCUGUUCUAGAGGAAAAACAGGAAGUGAGGCUUCUCCUGAGUAGUGUGACUUUCCUCCAGAGAGGAGUUUUCACUUUCUGCAGGACUUCGUGCUGGGUGAGGUAAGGCUGGAGCUGCUGGCACCACCUAGCCACAAAGAGGAAAGAGCCAGAGGCAGACUAAUUAUGAGGAAGAAGAGCCAAGAGAUGGGGAGAGAGAAAAACCAGAACCUGAAAGAAAACAAAACUGGAGUCUCUGGAGGAAGACAUGCCUGACUUCAAUUAUCUGAAUUAAUAAAUUCCUUUUUUCUUUUUUUUUUUUCUUUGCUUAAGAGGUUGUUUGUAUUGGGUCUUCUGUCAGUUUAAAGUAACCCAGAAGGCACAACAUAACCUGCCCAGCUUUAUGGGACUUUCUUGGGCCUCCGUCCCCUCUCUGUGAAAUAAGUGGGUUAGGUUAUUUAUCAGGGAAGGAUUGUGUUUGGCUGCUAGUAACAAACACCAGUGGUGUAGAGGUUUUAUUUUUCUCAUGCAAGAAGUCUGGAGUUAGGCAAUUGAUAUGGUUUGGCUGUAUCCCCACCCAAAUCUCAUCUUGAAUUGUAGCUCCCAUAAUUCCCACGUGUUGUGGGAGGGACCCGGUGGGAGAUAAUUGAAUCAUGGAGGUGAUUUCCCCCAUUCUGUUCUCCUAGAAGUGAAUAAGUCUCACAAGAUCUGAUGGUUUUAUAAGAGGAGACCCCUUUCGCUUGGUUGUCAUUCUCACUUGUCUGCCACCAUGUAAGACGUGCCUUUCGCCUUCCUCCCCAGCCAUGUAGAAGUAUGAGUCCAUUAAACCUCUUUUUCUUUAUAAAUUACCCAGUCUCAGGUAUGUCUUUAUCAGCAGCAUGAAAACGGACUAAUACAGCAGUCUAGGGCUAGUCUCACAGCCCCACAAUGCCAUUAGGCACAUAGGCAUCCCUGUUAGCCAGCUUGAGAGGUGGCAUUUGUUCUCAUACUCAGAAGAUGGCUGUCCCCUCUAGGCAUCAUGUCUGCAUGCUAGGCAGGAGGAGGAAGGAAGAAGAAAGGGGCCAACCCACACAGUGGCUUUGACUUGCAUCUCAUUGGCCAGAACUGUGUCACAUGGUCACUAUCUGAAAGGGAGACUGGGAAAUGUGUAAGUUGGGUACACU
This 1169-nucleotide long non-coding RNA is filed under the name Homo sapiens (human). Its description in RNAcentral is "HSALNT0232897". The record is from RNAcentral. Lineage: Eukaryota; Metazoa; Chordata; Mammalia; Primates; Hominidae.